This 253-nucleotide ribosomal RNA is filed under the name uncultured bacterium. RNAcentral's name for it is "partial 16S ribosomal RNA". It matches the Rfam family "Bacterial small subunit ribosomal RNA", at positions 524 to 776 of the family's 1533-position model. The record is from RNAcentral.
UACGUAGGGUGCAAGCGUUAAUCGGAAUUACUGGGCGUAAAGCGUGCGCAGGCGGUUCUAUAAGACAGAUGUGAAAUCCCCGGGCUCAACCUGGGAACUGCAUUUGUGACUGUAGAGCUGGAGUGCGGCAGAGGGGGAUGGAAUUCCGCGUGUAGCAGUGAAAUGCGUAGAUAUCUGGAGGAACACCGGUGGCGAAGGCGGCAUUCUGGACCGACAUUGACGCUGAGGAGCGAAAGCCAGGGGAGCAAACGGG